GUCAUAGGGACCAAGGUGAGGAAUGAGACAAAAGACUGAAGGACUUCCUUUCCAUACCCAUGAGCAUUGUGCCUGUCUGGCUGCCUGCUGUGGACACCGGGUAUCCUCAUGACUGUUGUGGGUGCUGUUGCUUUUGGCACUCUCCCAGACCCUAAGGAAGAAGAGUUGUAAUGGUUACCCAACCCAAGCAGUUUGAGCUUCAUGGAAACAAAAAAUAUCAGGAAAAGAAAUACCUCCCGCUCCUUCUACAACUUCUCAGCAUCCAAGGGAACGCUCAGGAGAUACCAUCCAAUGGCCUAGGGCACUAAGGGAGGGCUAAUGGCUGGGCUUCCCUCACUGCUCUUGAAACAAAGGAAGCAAACCCAGGUGGCUAAUGCUUCAGUCUCAGGGUUCACUUUGUGAUGUCUGCAUGAG
Lagopus leucura (white-tailed ptarmigan) is the source of this 414-nucleotide long non-coding RNA. RefSeq lists it as uncharacterized. NCBI's taxonomy places the organism in Eukaryota, Metazoa, Chordata, Aves, Galliformes, Phasianidae. The record is from RefSeq and is a predicted model, not a curated record. The transcript is spliced from 3 exons.